CAGCAGCCACGGUAAUACAGAGGGUGCGAGCGUUAAUCGGAUUUACUGGGCGUAAAGCGUGCGUAGGCGGCUUUUUAAGUCGGAUGUGAAAUCCCUGAGCUUAACUUAGGAAUUGCAUUCGAUACUGGGAAGCUAGAGUAUGGGAGAGGAUGGAAGAAUUCCAGGUGUAGCGGUGAAAUGCGUAGAGAUCUGGAGGAAUACCGAUGGCGAAGGCAGCCAUCUGGCCUAAUACUGACGCUGAGGUACGAAAGCAUGGGGAGCAAACAGGAUUAGAUACCCCAGUAGUCCCUGUCUCUUAUAA
This 301-nucleotide ribosomal RNA is filed under the name uncultured bacterium. Its description in RNAcentral is "partial 16S ribosomal RNA". It matches the Rfam family "Bacterial small subunit ribosomal RNA", at positions 509 to 809 of the family's 1533-position model. The record is from RNAcentral.